Molecule: long non-coding RNA, 1596 nt
Organism: Pan troglodytes (chimpanzee)
Lineage: Eukaryota; Metazoa; Chordata; Mammalia; Primates; Hominidae
Exons: 4
Source: RefSeq, a predicted model, not a curated record
GACGUCACUGGCGCGGCGCGUGGUGGCCUCUCAAGAGUGCAGGCGCUGUGGGGCGUCAGCUGGACAAAAGCUGACCCGACUUCAUUUAUCUGCCUCGACCCCGACCCCGGCUGGUAGACAGCACUCCUGAUGCACGGGACGAGGGAGCAGCACGAGCAAAGGCCCUGAAACAGGAGGGAGAGCGUUAACUUAGGUACUACUGGGCUUUCUUGACUGAAGUCCCUGAAGAGGAAACAAAUAUUUUCCAGCUGGGCCACCACCUGUGACAAGUUGUCAUUUGCACGGAGCUGGGAUUCUGUUCUGGUGGCUGCAUCUGCUGUGUACGUCUCCAUAGCCACAGGGGCUGGCAUGGCAUCUGGCAUAUAGCAGGACAGCUCUACUGUGCUACUUCAGCUCCAGAACUUUCCCCAGGGAUGACUGAGGCCUUUGUUGCGACUGCAUCUGCAUCGCAGCUCAACUCCUCUGCCUGGUCCUGCUGACCUCACUCCCACGCAGGUGCUGCCUCCAAGAGCACUCCCCAAUAAACCUGCUCACUCGUCCGUGGGCUUCCCUGGGAACCUGACUUCUUACUCUUCUCAAGCCAUAACCGUGUCAUUCAUCCAUUCAUUCAGUAAAUAUGUACUGAACAGCUAUGCCCCAGGCAUUGUUUUGGGAUCCAGCAGCAACCCCAGACAGACCAGGACUGUUUGUGUAGGGAUACUGGCCAUCGAGUUUUUAGAUUUCACCAAGACUGAACCUCAUCAUCUCCAGCCCCACCAUGGCCAUGCCACUCCUGGGAGGCCUGGCUGCUUCAGCUCCCUAGAGUGGCCCUUAGAAGGUGUGGACAGGUGUGGGGACAGGAAGGGAGCAGACCCAGGAGCCCAGGUCUGUGGAGUCAGGCAGACCCAGGUUCGAAUUCAACUUAGUGCUUUUUUGCAUUUCCCUAGUGACUAAUGAUAUUGAGCAUCUUUUCAUGUGUUCACUGGCUUUUGUAUAUGGUGUUAGUCCACUUUUGUUGCUAUAAAGGAAUACCUGAGGCUAAGUAACUCAUAAAGAAAAGAGGUUCGGGCACAGUGGCUCACACGUAUAAUCCCAGCACUUUGGGAGGCCGAGGUGGGUAGAUCACUUGAGGUCAGGAGUUCAAGACCAACCUGGCCGACAUGGUGAAACCUCGUCUCUACUAAAAAUACAAAAAUUAGCUGGGUAUGGUGGUGCGUGCCUGUAGUCCCAGCAACUCGGGAGGCUGAGGCAGUCAAGACAGUGCACUACAGCCUGGGUGACAGAGCGAGACUCCCUCUCAAAAAAAAAGAAAGAAAAGAAAAGAGGGCUGGGCGUGGUGGCUCAUGCCUGUAAUCCCAGCACUUCGGGAGGCUAAGGUGGGAAGAUUACUUGAGCUUAGGAAUUCGAGACCAGCCUGGGCAACAUAGCGAGACCUUGUCUCUAUUAUAAAUAAAAACAAAAAGUUAGCUACCAAAAAUUAGGUGGCGUGCACCUGUAGUCCCAGUUACUUGGGCAGCUAAGGUGGGAGGAUCGCUUGAGUCUGGGAGACUGAGGCUGCAGUGAGCUAUGAUCACACCAUUGCACUCUAGCAUGGGUGACAGAGUGAGACCCUGUCUC